Molecule: non-coding RNA, 3448 nt
Organism: Lactuca sativa (garden lettuce)
Lineage: Eukaryota; Viridiplantae; Streptophyta; Magnoliopsida; Asterales; Asteraceae
Source: RefSeq, a predicted model, not a curated record
UCGUGUCAAUAGUUAUCCACAAGUGAACAAGAACGCGCCAAACCCAUUUUUUUCCCGCUUUAACAUAUUGAAACGAUUAGUUGUCGCUGUAGCUUCAAAAGUCAAAAAAAGAUGGUCGAACUCUAUUGGGACGACAUGUCGUCCCUAUAGGGAGCCUAUAGCAACGACAAUUGUCGUCCCUACAGAUCUCGUCCCUAUAAGUACUUAUUCUUGUAGUGCAUGACCACCUUCAGAAUAUAGUUCUUUUAGUGCCUGGGUUUGCUGGAUCUAUUCUCAAUGCUAAUGAUGUUGAAACAGGGAAAGAAGAGAUGGUUUGGGGUUCAAAUUUGGGAAUUUGAUUGUCAAUUUUUGUGGGAAACUUUGCUGUCAGUUUGUACUGAUUGAACAAAGUAUGUUCUUAUCUAACACUAAAUUUAUUAAUCAGAUUUCUAAUAUAUCUACAUGCCCUUCCAGAUCAUCUUUCUUGAUGUUUUUUUAUAAUCGUCAUACCCAGGGUAUUUGUAGUCUUGUCAUGGUUCUACUUAAUUAGGAUUUAGAAUAUACGUGUAAGACGCAUUUGUGAAUCAAGGUAAUGGUUUCAAUUUCGGUAUGUCCUUUAAAAGCGGAGUUGUUCUUGAUCAAAAAAUAAGAUAUCUCAAUUACCCUUUAACAACAGUGUCAUCCAAAAAUAUACAGCAAUAGUAGAAUAUCAUUCCAUCUUAAUGUUUAAUGACUAUUGAGUAUUGAUUGCAUGUCUAUCAUCCGAAUAUAAACGUCAAUGAUGUGCUAGAAAUUGAAAAUUUAUAAUGACUAACAAUUCUUGGAGGCUCUUGAAACCUUUUUAAUUGUGUGGUUUGAAAGUUUCCAUUGUGAUUACUUUGUUAUCUCAAGUUUAGUGUGCUAGAAUAUGGAGAUUUGGCAGGAGACAUGUUUCUGAACCUUUGGAUACCACUCGAUAAAUUUGUCGAGGAUGAAAAUGUACUUGCAGGUAAGGAUACAUUAUCUGUCAGAUUAGUAAUAUGGUUUUUGUUGGUUACAUAGAUUGUAAUUAAUUCAUAUGAGAUAUAAUAAGGUUAGGAUGAGGACUUAUUUGUGUUGAGAAUUUAGUAGCAUUUUCCCCAGAUGUUGGUAGACUAGCUACAAGCUCGAGAGUUUCAUGAUCUUUUAAUAUUUUUCUUAGGUUAAAACUAACAGUUUAUUUGUUAUUUUCAUACAAAAAAUGAAAGGGAUUAUUUCAUUAAAUCCUUUUGCGGAAUUGAGAAACCUAGAUUGCAAGUCAACCUCAGACCCUGUGGACUCAUCAAACACUUUCACCACUCCAUUCCGAAACAAAAUACUUCUAUGGAGCAGGUAAUCGUGAUAGGGGAAUGAGCAUGGUAUUUCCAAAGGUUUUUGGAUUCAAGUUGUUGGGGAAAUAAAAUAAUGGUGCAAAAGCUACUGAUUGCGCUUUUUGACAGUCGCCCAAAGGUAUGCAGCAACAAAAACAUGCUAAAAUCCCCUUCCUCAAUAGAUGGAACAAAGUCUCAGCAGAAACACAUGACACCAUUAGUUGAUGCAAGAGUUUUAUAUAGCUGGAAAAAUAAAUCCUUUAUGAGGAUAUCAAACCCUGAGCAUAAUGUAUAUAUAAUAAGUAGUACUACAUGAAUCAUAAAUGCAUAUAUUAUAUCCAACGCAUACCAACUGUUCGAUACAAUGCUCAUGACAAUUCUCUUUCCUUAUGAUCUCAAUUUUAAUAAACUUAUACAUGUACUUUGCAAAAAAGGAAAUGUUUAGGAGAGUGAGUUUUUUCCACAAGUUAUCGAAGUAUUUAUGAAUAUUAUUUGUGUUUAUUUAGCCAACUGUUGGUUGUCUUCAUUUGACAGAAGUGUGUCGGGUGUAAUUUUGAUACCUAUAAAAAGUUUACAUUUUGAUUCUUUUUUUUUUUUUACCUUAAACUUUACUGCUCAAAGAACAUACAAACCCAUCUCAUUUAGAGCUUCAAAAAAACUGCAAAUCGAGGAAGAAGAUGCACAUGGGAGAAACUUUCAGCCAUUAAAGGCAACUGUGGAAACUGACUUGUUCUUGAUGAAUUUGUUGUAAUUUUAAACCACAUGGAUACUUAGAACUAUCAGGCUCGUUCUGCUGGUUUUAAUGUUUUUCUUUUGACUUUGGCCCAAUAUCCACCCCUUGACAGUGGUUUUUCAUAGCAGAUACCAAGUUGGUAUAUAGAAAUUUAGAUAUUUGUUAUUUGUAUUUACAGUUUAUUUUUUGUAUUUGAUCAUUCUUUAGAUCAAAUAAAUCCGAUGGUAACUGACAGCAAAUUCGAGUUUCGUCUAAUAUCUCACCCUCAGCCAAUGCACCUUCGCAAAAUUGUCAUUAACAUCAAAUUUAAAAGUAUCUAUAUACCCACAUUACCAUUAUGCCCUUGUAACCUACCUAUAUGGCCUUUUUAUAAUAAUACAAUGAAAGCAUUUUACCUCAUGCUAUUUCAAGAUUUGGUGUUCAAAUACAGAUCCAUAAACACACUCCAAAUUACCAAAAUUGUCCCUCAACCACACUAAAACCCUAUAUCAAAUCAAGUCUCAUGCCAUAUAAUCACCAUAGCCCUCCAUAUAAUAAGUCUUGAAAGCAUAGAUUACAUUUUCAAACUACAAUGCAUAAACAAGAAAAACAAUCCAUAAACAAAAUACCAUAUAUCUCUAUUUUACACACAUCUAUCCCAAAAUUAUUAAAACAUAACUUUCGAAAUUCCCAAAUUACCCUUCGUGGGCUGUGCUCAGCACGGCCCUCCUAACUUCACUAGUAUAUACAUAUGCUAAAACUAUGGAAUGAUGUUAAAUCAAGUAAAAAAUCAACCAAAUGAUAGCUGGAACAAGGUUUUGAUUACAUAGGGAACAUAUUGGAGGGGCUAUACGACCUUGUAAUAUAUUAUUAUCAGAUAUUGAUGACUGUUGAUAGGAAAGUGGGUUGAGGCAUACUUGUUGGGUAUUUUAUAAACUGAUAUAUAAUUAAUUAAUUAAUAUUGAUGUUACAUAUUACUUAUAUAUACAUCCCGAUUACUAGACAAAAUGUUUAUUUUGAUGACUAUAAAUAUAAUUCAAGAAUGAUCUAAUCUCUUCUCCAAUCUCUCUAUAUGUAGUCAGACUAGUAACUGUAUGGCUGUGUAACUAACCCAUGAGCUACAUUCUAACAACUUACUUCUGUUGACUUUGGACUCCAGCUUUGACUUUUGUUUGACUAAUUUGUUUACUUUUCUUCUGGUAUAUGUAUAUACUAUAUAGUAGAGUAUUGUUAAAAACAACCAACUUAGUAUUGAAUUGUGGAAUAUUAUGCAAAUUUAGGAUAUAUGGUAUACUACUUCUAGCUUAAUUAAGAAGGACAACUGGGGAUUGUUUAUACUUUAUACUUUAUAGUUAUGGCAAGAGUGUAUGUACUAUGUAGUGAGGGGUAUAUAUGUUUGAAAUUGAACUUGCUUAUAUAGUUUUGUCUU